This 1606-nucleotide long non-coding RNA is filed under the name Malus domestica (apple). Its description in RNAcentral is "long non-coding RNA (MDOM_LNC016486)". Lineage: Eukaryota; Viridiplantae; Streptophyta; Magnoliopsida; Rosales; Rosaceae. The record is from RNAcentral.
UCAAAACAGGUCAUGAAUUCCAAGUGAACGGACACCGUUUGAAGCCAUAUUAUGAGAAUUUUGUUGAACAAACCGUGGAGGAUAUUUCUUUGGGAGCCGUGGGCACAAAUGGAGAAUGAUUGGGCUUUUCGUCCGGCUGUACGACGUUAAAGAAAGCGCUACUUGGGAGGCAACCCAUGCAAUUCAACAAAGGAAGACCAAGGAAUUACUCCAAUUCCAGAUUUGCGUUCCUAAACUCUUCACUUUGUUCUUUAUUUCGAAUCUGCCUAUUUAGUUGUUUUAGUUGCUGUUUGUGUGUUUCUUUUUGUUUAGUGUGAUUUUAUGCUUGAAACAUUGAGGACAAUGUUUGAUUUAAGUGUGGGGGGGUAACUAAGUGUUUUAGAUGCAAAUUCGUGGGAUUUUAUCACCCUUAACUUGGAGACUUGUUCCUUGCUGUUUUUAAGUGUUUUUGAGCAGUUUUGGUGUGUUUUAGUGUGUUUUGAUGCAAAAAUCCGAAAAUCACAUAAAAAUUUUGAAAAUUUGUUUUAAAAAACCCAAAAAGAGUUGUUUUUGUGUGUUUGUUGUGUCUUAGGGUACCUUCCAACACAAUGAUGAGGAUUUGGUUUUUAAUUGCAUGACUGUUAAAGAGAGUGAUUAACAUGGAUGAAAGUUUGAUUUACUCUUUGUUUAUGUUUGGUUGUGGUUAUAACUUAUGAAUUCACAUGCAAUCAUAAAAGAAAAAAAUCAGUUUUUGUAACAUGCUUGAAGGAAGGAACUCAAACUAACGCUACAACCUUGUGAGACUUGAGCCUAAACGUUUAUUUGGAGAGUUAAAAUCUGUGUAUUCUUUGUUUUCUAAAGUCGUUGCAUGAUCUCAUUAUUCUUUGCGUGGUUGCUACUUAGAAGGCGUUUCAUCAUUUAGUUCCAAAUGCUAGAACUCAUGCCCAUUUCAUUCAAAGCAUGUUAUUGAUUUGCAUAACACACAUUCAAGAUGAAGUUGUGUAGUGACCAUCACCUUAGCCAAAAAGCCGUAAAUCCCCUCUGUUAUUAUGUUUUGUAGGUUUUUAACCCCGUUGAGCCUUGUUUAACCUAUUCUUUGUUAACCCAUGUUUUCCUCACCUAGCCUAGAUUAGGACCAUCCAUACCCUUGUUCUUAAAGCAUAGUAAAGCAUGAUUCAAAUUGAAUUCCUUUUGAUUUAUGUGGGCAGAAAAUAAGUGUGGGGGAAGUGUUUUUCAUGAGGAAUUGUGUGCCAAAGGCACGGCAAAGAAAAGAAAAAAAAAAUGAAAUUCGUGGAAAAAGAAAAAGAAAAAGAAAAGUGUGUGAAAAGAAUGAAAAGGAGUUGAAAAGAUGUGAAAAAGAGUCUCAAAGUAUUGUUUGUUGAAGAAAGGGGUCCAAAACUUUGAAUUCGGCCCUAAAUAUUGCUUGAAUCCUCCCUUCGUGUUUAAAAGUUGAUUUCUGCAAUCUAAGUGAAUUCUAAGUCUCAAUUUCAUUGCUUUGCUUACUAUUGCUUGAAGAACGUUUGUUUUCCAUAUCCGUUUUUGUUAGCCAAUACCUUAAGCCCCAUUACAACCCUUAACUUCUAUCUUGAGUGUUAUGUGUUUCAAUUUGUGGAGUUUGAAUUUGGUA